GACGAACGCUGGCGGCGUGCCUAAUACAUGCAAGUCGAACGCUGAAGGAGGAGCUUGCUUCUCCGGAUGAGUUGCGAACGGGUGAGUAACGCGUAGGUAACCUGCCUGGUAGCGGGGGAUAACUAUUGGAAACGAUAGCUAAUACCGCAUAAGAGUAGAUGUUGCAUGACAUUUGCUUAAAAGGUGCAAUUGCAUCACUACCAGAUGGACCUGCGUUGUAUUAGCUAGUUGGUGGGGUAACGGCUUACCAAGGCGACGAUACAUAGCCGACCUGAGAGGGUGAUCGGCCACACUGGGACUGAGACACGGGCCAGACUCCUACGGGAGGCAGCAGUAGGGAAUCUUCGGAAAUGGACGGAAGUCUGACCGAGCAACGCCGCGUGAGUGAAGAAGGGUUUCGGAUCGUAAAGCUCUGUUGUAAGAGAAGAACGAGUGUGAGAGUGGAAAGUUCACACUGUGACGGUAUCUGACCAGAAAGGGACGGCUAACUACGUG
This 495-nucleotide ribosomal RNA is filed under the name uncultured bacterium. Its description in RNAcentral is "partial 16S ribosomal RNA". It matches the Rfam family "Bacterial small subunit ribosomal RNA", at positions 28 to 507 of the family's 1533-position model. The record is from RNAcentral.